ACUACUUGGAUAACAACCGUUUAAGUCCACCAGACAACCUAUUCAUUUUCUUUUUAUUUCCAAGUUAAAAGGUGAUCUUGACCGGAACUCUGCUGGGCAGCGUUAGUCAUCUGAAGAGAGGUGUUUGGGACGUUUGGUCCUGAUCGUUAUUAAGUUUGUUUCCGCACUCUAAACGUUAAUACUACCUCAUCCAUUCCCAGCCGAAAUGGAGAGAGGAACCAGCUGUUCUUUUCAGCUAUCGCUGAAGGUGUUCUUUGCAACGUUGCUGGCAAUCAAAUCGUCCGCCGGUGUUUCUUCAACCCGUGCUCCAUACUCUGAGUCGCCCUUAGACUAUCCUAAAAUGAACGAACGUGCAAUUCCUCCUCGUACCACGGAUUACUUAAAUCAUUACGCGGACGACGGCAAGACAGACGGGAAGGCUCUGGAACAAGGGCUUUCGCCUACCCCUCACGACAACAGUCUGGAGGAGCAUGAUCCGGAUGAUCGCUAUCUUGAGGGCUCUGCGGCGGAGGCGGCGUGGGCUCUGAACACGACUUCAGACCAUGGGCAGUAAUUAUACGUCUAACGUCAUCGUGGUGCACAAUGAGACCUGGGACGGCACCGGCGAUAACGAGACGCUCUCUGCCCACCGAAAUCCAGAUGGGAAUUCGUCCACAUCCGGAAACGCGACUAAGGAGCAUCUCGGCAACUUCCAGACGCUCAUUAAGAACACGGUCAACAGGCUGGUGCAGAAAGAGAUCGGGAAAAUCAGUUACGUCUACAAGAAAUACUUCGCCCUGUUGUACAACGUGUCUUUGGCGGAUAUCAAUGAGAAUGUGACACACGACGAACCCUCUAACAUCAUCGAACUGGUCGAGGAAGCCCUUAGCCUCGAUGAACCCAAAAUUCCUCCGGAGUGUAAGAUGACAAUUGUGACUGUGCACAUCUGUACCAUUAGGGUAUUUCACAUAGGAUCUCUGCCUCCAAACAUCGUCGAGAAUUACAACGAAGACUCCCUGCAGGGCCUGAUCUGCCCGUGCCCAGUUCCUGUCCCGGGCUUCCUGUGCCCAAUUUACGCGAGGAACAUAAUCCAGGAAAGGUACGACAAGCGGUGCCGAGAGUGAAUGUGGAAAACGAAAUCUGCCACUGGACACAUUGAACUUUAUCUGAGGUAGACAAUCGUCUGCUCAAAUAAUUCUCGGCUGGUUUUAAAGUUGUACAGUUAAUGACAGUUCUGAAUAAAUUUUAAAUGCUA
Molecule: long non-coding RNA, 1234 nt
Organism: Macrobrachium nipponense
Lineage: Eukaryota; Metazoa; Arthropoda; Malacostraca; Decapoda; Palaemonidae
Exons: 2
Source: RefSeq, a predicted model, not a curated record